ACGGCGAGUGAAGCGGCAAAAGCUCAAAUUUGAAACCCUCGGGAUUGUAAUUUGAAGAUUUGGCAUUGGAGAAAGCUAACCCAAGUUGCUUGGAAUAGUACGUCAUAGAGGGUGACAACCCCGUCUGGCUAACCGUUCUCCAUGUAUUGCCUUAUCAAAGAGUCGAGUUGUUUGGGAAUGCAGCUCAAAGUGGGUGGUAAACUCCAUCUAAAGCUAAAUACUGGUGAGAGACCGAUAGCGAACAAGUACUGUGAAGGAAAGGUGAAAAGAACUUUGAAAAGAGAGUGAAAUAGUAUGUGAAAUUGUUGAUAGGGAAGGAAAUGAGUGGAGAGUGGCCGAGGUUUCAGCCGCCCCUCGUGGGCGGUGUACUGCCGACGCCGAGUCAUCGAUAGCGAGACGAGGGUUACAAAUGGGAGCGCCUUUCGGGCGUUCUCCCCUAACCCUCCACACUGCCACCGACGACAUAAUCCACCCAUUUCACCCGUCUUGAAACACGGACCA
Molecule: ribosomal RNA, 501 nt
Filed under: Yarrowia lipolytica
Lineage: Eukaryota; Fungi; Ascomycota; Dipodascomycetes; Dipodascales
Description: eukaryotic LSU rRNA
Rfam family: Eukaryotic large subunit ribosomal RNA
Source: RNAcentral